GCACAGGUGGCGAAGUGGUUAACGCGCUCGGCUGCAACCCGAGUAUUCGGGGGUUCAAUUCCCUCCCUGUGCU
This 73-nucleotide transfer RNA is filed under the name Nanobdellota archaeon. Its description in RNAcentral is "tRNA-Cys". It matches the Rfam family "tRNA". From Rfam's summary of the family: Transfer RNA (tRNA) molecules are approximately 80 nucleotides in length. Their secondary structure includes four short double-helical elements and three loops (D, anti-codon, and T loops). Further hydrogen bonds mediate the characteristic L-shaped molecular structure. tRNAs have two regions of fundamental functional importance: the anti-codon, which is responsible for specific mRNA codon recognition, and the 3' end, to which the tRNAs corresponding amino acid is attached (by aminoacyl-tRNA synthetases). tRNAs cope with the degeneracy of the genetic code in two manners: having more than one tRNA (with a specific anti-codon) for a particular amino acid; and 'wobble' base-pairing, i.e. permitting non-standard base-pairing at the 3rd anti-codon position. The record is from RNAcentral. Lineage: Archaea; Nanobdellati; Nanobdellota.